CCUACGGGAGGCAGCAGUGGGGAAUAUUGGACAAUGGGGGGAACCCUGAUCCAGCCAUGCCGCGUGUGUGAAGAAGGCCCUCGGGUUGUAAAGCACUUUCAGUGAGGAAGAACGCCUGGUGGUUAAUACCCAUCAGGAAAGACAUCACUCACAGAAGAAGCACCGGCUAACUCCGUGCCAGCAGCCGCGGUAAUACGGAGGGUGCGAGCGUUAAUCGGAAUUACUGGGCGUAAAGCGCGCGUAGGUGGCUUGAUAAGCCGGUUGUGAAAGCCCCGGGCUCAACCUGGGAACGGCAUCCGGAACUGUCAAGCUAGAGUGCAGGAGAGGAAGGUAGAAUUCCCGGUGUAGCGGUGAAAUGCGUAGAGAUCGGGAGGAAUACCAGUGGCGAAGGCGGCCUUCUGGACUGACACUGACACUGAGGUGCGAAAGCGUGGGUAGCAAACAGGAUUAGAUACCCGAGUGGUC
Molecule: ribosomal RNA, 465 nt
Filed under: Vreelandella stevensii
Lineage: Bacteria; Pseudomonadati; Pseudomonadota; Gammaproteobacteria; Oceanospirillales; Halomonadaceae
Description: partial 16S ribosomal RNA
Rfam family: Bacterial small subunit ribosomal RNA
Source: RNAcentral